GGCGAACGGGUGAGUAACACGUGGGCAACCUUUCCUAUCGCGGGGGAUAACAGCGGGAAACCGCUGCUAAUACCGCAUGUCGUCAUCGGUCGCAUGGCCGGUGAAGAAAGCAGCAAUGCACGAUGGGGUGGGCCCGCGGCCUAUCAGCUAGUCGGUGGGGUAACGGCCUACCGAGGCGAUGACGGGUAGCUGGUCUGAGAGGACGACCAGCCACACGGGGACUGAGACACGGCCCCGACUCCUACGGGAGGCAGCAGUGAGGAAUCUUCCGCAAUGGGCGAAAGCCUGACGGAGCGACGCCGCGUGUGGGAUGAAGUCUUUCGGGAUGUAAACCACUGUCGGAGGGGAAGACAUCGACGGUACCCUCCAAGAAAGCCCCGGCUAACUACGUGCCAGCCGCCGCGG
Molecule: ribosomal RNA, 405 nt
Filed under: uncultured bacterium
Lineage: Bacteria
Description: bacterial SSU rRNA
Rfam family: Bacterial small subunit ribosomal RNA
Source: RNAcentral